CACGGCAGCAAGGUGGUUGAAUGAGCAAACAGAGGAAUAGUUAGGAAUGUUGGAGACCAGAAGCCUGAGCAACUGAGAGAGCUAGUACGCUCAUUCAGGAAGGAGGCAGGUGGAGCCUGAAGCCUGCUCCUCUGAGGGCCCCAGGGUGGCCCCUGGCUGGUCCCAAAUGCUCCACACAAUAAAAGUAGAGUGAGAAGCAGGAACCAGACUCUGGAGCUGGAUGUCCUUGAAGGGUGGUGAUGCUGGAGAUUAGUCCCCUGCCACCCCACUGCCCGAGAGCAGACCAACUAAGGUCCUUCUGCCCAGAGAGCCUCCCCACACCGCUCCAUCUGCCUGGUGAGUCACCCACGCUUCACCACCCUCGCCAAGAGAUCCAAGCUGAGCACCUUGUAUGUCUCCCUAUCAUCGCACUUAAUGGAUAUGUUCGGCCUCCCAGUGGACCAGCGUGUCCCUGGGCCCCAGGACUCUUUCUUACUUAUCUCCACGUGGAGCUCCCAGAACAGGUUUGGGCACAGUGGGUGGGAACGAGGGAAGCCUCUGGGUGUCAGCUGAGCCUGAGACACAUGGAAGAUCACGUCCAGAUGCAUGGGUGUGCACGGUAUACACGCACCUUGACCAAAAGAAGUCAUUGUGCCAUUUGCUGAUGUACAAUGGAUGGCCCUAAAACUGAGUUGCUUGAAACGGUGGCAAUGUAUCAUUUCUCUUGAUUCCAGGGGUUGACUGGGCCCUGCCAGGGAGUUCUGGCGCCAUGGCGUGCUGAAGUCACUCAUGGGCGGCACUCAGCUGGGAGCGCAGCUGGGGCUGAAGCCUCUCAUUCUUGGGUCUUCCUCUCCACGGCUGAUCAUCAUUCUGCAUUCUGCCUGAGCGACUUCAUAGCUCGGCUUCUGGCUUUCUGGAGGAGCAUGCCAAGAGGGCAGGUCUUAGUGCACGAGCGCUUCCCAGGUCUUUUUUUUUUUUUUUUUUUUUUUUUUUUCAUAUUUACUAAUGUUGCACUGGCCAAAGGGUAUGGCUCACUAAGGCCAUCAGGGGAACUGUUGGCUGUGUCUCUGUACCCUGGUCCUGAGUACAGUUUAGCUCCCUCCCUGCCUGCCAAAGUUAUUCUAAAGAACUUUGGGUGGGCAUUGAUCUACUCUGGUCCAGGUGGGGCUUGUCUCAGUCAUCAAGGCUGGCCUUGAAGGUGGGAUAGGAGGGAGACAUCCACACCUGAUCUCUCUGUGUUGGACACGACCCUCACCCCUCUGAAGGCUGGGUCUUAGGAAGGGUCCCCUCUCAUGGGACAGCUAUCACCAGAGACGGGGCAGUGGAAGAGGGAAUGGUGUUCUUUGUUUUCUACCAACAAA
RNAcentral lists this long non-coding RNA (1340 nucleotides) under Chinchilla lanigera (long-tailed chinchilla). RNAcentral's name for it is "lncRNA (ENSCLAG00000024705.1)". The record is from RNAcentral. Lineage: Eukaryota; Metazoa; Chordata; Mammalia; Rodentia; Chinchillidae.